GAUGAACGCUGGCGGCGUGCUUCCCUCAUGCAAGUCGAACGAAGCAUUUGCAACAGAUUUCUUCGGAUUGAAGUUGCUUAUGACUGAGUGGCGGACGGGCGAGUAACGCGUGGGUAACCUGCCUCAUACAGGGGGAUAGCAGCUGGAAACGGCUGGUAAUACCGCAUAAGCGCACAGUACCACAUGGUACAGUGUGAAAAACUCCGGUGGUAUGAGAUGGACCCGCGUCUGAUUAGCCAGUUGGUGGGGUAACGGCCUACCAAAGCGACGAUCAGUAGCCGACCUGAGAGGGUGACCGGCCACAUUGGGACUGAGACACGGCCCAAACUCCUACGGGAGGCAGCAGUGGGGAAUAUUGCACAAUGGGGGAAACCCUGAUGCAGCGACGCCGCGUGAGCGAAGAAGUAUUUCGGUAUGUAAAGCUCUAUCAGCAGGGAAGAAGAAAUGACGGUACCUGACUAAGAAGCACCGGCUAAAUACGUG
This 483-nucleotide ribosomal RNA is filed under the name uncultured bacterium. Its description in RNAcentral is "bacterial SSU rRNA". It matches the Rfam family "Bacterial small subunit ribosomal RNA", at positions 28 to 507 of the family's 1533-position model. The record is from RNAcentral.